Molecule: non-coding RNA, 144 nt
Organism: Gossypium raimondii (Peruvian cotton)
Lineage: Eukaryota; Viridiplantae; Streptophyta; Magnoliopsida; Malvales; Malvaceae
Source: Rfam
UAUUAAAAAUUUCAUCCAUUUGUACUGUUCAAAACUGGCAUGGUUGACGGAAUAACUGGACAUUGAUACAUGACAUGCCACGUGUACAUCAUAUUGACGUACAGGGACCAGUUUUAACAGUAGAAGUGGAUGUAAUUUUUAAUA